AAGAAUAGGAUAAGCGAAGCCAUGGCGUCUGACAUUGACAUGAAUCCUUGCAAAGAAUCUCAUAAAAAAGAAGAGAAGAAAAAAGAGGAGGUAUUCAAAAAGAAUGAAAUGAAUACAACUAAUCCAGUUGAGUUUAGAUCAUGCCAUAUUCUGGAUCCUCCGGAGUCUUCUGCAUCGGGUCAAAUUCCAAUAGCUAGGAAUCCAUCCAAAGAACA
Long non-coding RNA from Ipomoea nil (Japanese morning glory), 215 nucleotides. RefSeq lists it as uncharacterized. The record is from RefSeq and is a predicted model, not a curated record. The transcript has 2 exons. Lineage: Eukaryota; Viridiplantae; Streptophyta; Magnoliopsida; Solanales; Convolvulaceae.